AUCGAUGAAAAACGCAGCGAAAUGCGAUAAGUAAUGUGAAUUGCAGAAUUCAGUGAAUCAUCGAANUUUUGAACGCAUAUUGCACCUUAGAGUAUNCUUUANGGUAUACCUGUUCGAGCGUCGUUUAAAACAAUAAAGCCUUGCUUUUUGAUGGAUUUUGAUAGCGAGAAAUGGAGACAUUCGUGUUUUCUUUUCCAAGUUCAACUUCUCAAACAUAGUGGCGUUUUGCUUAAAGCUUGUUGUCAAUGUACAGUGAAAAUGUAUAUAAUGACGAAGCACCAAGUAUUAGACGCAACAAUAAAAACCACAAUUAUUAGUUUCGACCUCGAAUCAAGUAAGACUACCCGCUGAACUUAAGCAUAUCAAUAAGCGGAGGAAAAGAAACCAACAGGGAUUGCCUUAGUAACGGCGAGUGAAGCGGCAAAAGUUCAAAUUUGAAAUCUCCUAACAAGGCGAAUUGUAAUUUGUAGAGGAAUGUUCGGCGAAAUCUUGAUCCAAGUCUUCUGGAAGGAAGCGCCACUGAGGGUGAGAGCCCCGUUAGGAUUGAAAGACGUAGCCAUGUGUACAUCCUUCGAAGAGUCGAGUUGUUUGGGAAUGCAGCUCAAAACGGGUGGUAAAUUCCAUCUAAAGCUAAAUAUUGGCCAGAGACCGAUAGCGCACAAGUAGAGUGAUCGAAAGAUGAAAAGCACUUUGGAAAGAGAGUGAAAAAGUACGUGAAAUUGUUGAAAGGGAAGCGCUUGCAACCAGACUUGAUAAUGAUGUUCAGCCAGUGAUUUCACUGGUGUAUUUCAUCGUGUUCAGGCCAACAUCGGUUUCUUGGGUCGGNAAAAAGUAUUGGGAACGUGGCUCCUCGGAGUGUUAUAGCCCUUUACAGAAUACGGCCACAUUGGAGACCGAGGACUGCCUCUUUUGUAGGAUGUUGGCGUAAUGGUUGUCAGCGGCCCGUCUUGAAACACGG
This 958-nucleotide ribosomal RNA is filed under the name uncultured Ascomycota. RNAcentral's name for it is "eukaryotic LSU rRNA". The stretch from base 321 to 958 matches the Rfam family "Eukaryotic large subunit ribosomal RNA", at positions 1 to 664 of the family's 3401-position model. Lineage: Eukaryota; Fungi; Ascomycota. The record is from RNAcentral.